GACGAACGCUGGCGGCGUGCUUAACACAUGCAAGUCGAACGGAAAGGCCCUGCUUUUGUGGGGUGCUCGAGUGGCGAACGGGUGAGUAACACGUGAGUAACCUGCCCUUGACUUUGGGAUAACUUCAGGAAACUGGGGCUAAUACCGGAUAGGAGCUCCUGCUGCAUGGUGGGGGUUGGAAAGUUUCGGCGGUUGGGGAUGGACUCGCGGCUUAUCAGCUUGUUGGUGGGGUAGUGGCUUACCAAGGCUUUGACGGGUAGCCGGCCUGAGAGGGUGACCGGCCACAUUGGGACUGAGAUACGGCCCAGACUCAUACGGGAGGCAGAAGUGGGGAAUAUUGCAAAAUGGGCGGAAGCCUGAUGCAGCAACGCCGCGUGCGGGAUGACGGCCUUCGGGUUGUAAACCGCUUUCGCCUGUGACGAAGCGUGAGUGAUGGUAAUGGGUAAAGAAGCACCGGCUAACUACGUG
RNAcentral lists this ribosomal RNA (468 nucleotides) under uncultured bacterium. RNAcentral describes it as "partial 16S ribosomal RNA". It matches the Rfam family "Bacterial small subunit ribosomal RNA", at positions 28 to 507 of the family's 1533-position model. The record is from RNAcentral.